AAACUCAAUGGGGACUACACUAAUAGCAAACAGCAGAUGCAAAAUUUGAAUAAAAGGAAAUGUUAUUGGAAUGAAAUUUACCAAAACGUAUAUUAAUUUCAGCAGUUAUAAAAUCGCGAAGAACAAUGUGUAACCCGAUCACUGAAGAACAAAGGUAUGAUUUCUUAAGAAUUACAGUAAAUUAGAUGAAGAUUAGAAGAUCGAAAGUUUUUGAAGUUUUCAGAUAUGGUCGCCUUGGCCGUCAUCAGCGCGGAGAUCUGCCUCAGACUUCUUCUCUGAUCCUUAAGACUCACAUCCUCUAUCGACUAUGAUUAAAGCCCUCCCUCUUCCUUUCUGGUUUCAACUCCUGGUUCUACAUCUAAGAGCUCUGUACAUCCAUUCCCUUUGACACUCUCCAAUCCGAGCUCCGGUCACACCUUGCAUUCUUCAAACGCGAAGAUUUUUGAUCUCAUCAAUCGUUAGUUUAAGUACUAAGUUCGUUGUUAUCGAUGAGGUUGAAGUCUGCAUGUGUGCCCAGCUCAUUGGUUUUCGUGAGAAUUAUAAGUGAAGUAAGGUUAGAGUAAUAAAGUGCAGAAAAUAAACAACACAUAAGUUUUUCUUUUUGAAUUUACUAGAACAAUAAAGCGUUUACACCAAUCUUUUCUAGAUUUUGAUUAAUCAUGAUCACCUAAUCUCAAGCUAAACUCUCCCUAAAUCUAGAUUUCAAUUUUCAACAUUCUGGAAGUACGUCAACAACUACACAAGCACCUAACACAAAAUAGUGACACCAAAAGUUUCAUCACACAAUCAACAAAC
Molecule: long non-coding RNA, 795 nt
Filed under: Brassica napus (rape)
Lineage: Eukaryota; Viridiplantae; Streptophyta; Magnoliopsida; Brassicales; Brassicaceae
Description: long non-coding RNA (BNAP_LNC024016)
Source: RNAcentral